RNAcentral lists this ribosomal RNA (301 nucleotides) under uncultured bacterium. RNAcentral's name for it is "partial 16S ribosomal RNA". It matches the Rfam family "Bacterial small subunit ribosomal RNA", at positions 509 to 808 of the family's 1533-position model. The record is from RNAcentral.
CAGCAGCGCGGUAAUACGUAGGGUGCGAGCGUUAAUCGGAAUUACUGGGCGUAAAGCGUGCGCAGGCGGUUCGUUAAGACAGAUGUGAAAUCCCCGGGCUUAACCUGGGAACUGCAUUUGUGACUGGCGAGCUAGAGUAUGGCAGAGGGGGGUAGAAUUCCACGUGUAGCAGUGAAAUGCGUAGAGAUGUGGAGGAAUACCGAUGGCGAAGGCAGCCCCCUGGGCCAAUACUGACGCUCAUGCACGAAAGCGUGGGGAGCAAACAGGAUUAGAUACCCCGGUAGUCCCUGUCUCUUAUACA